GUUUGGGAAUGCAGCUCAAAAUGGGUGGUAAAUUCCAUCUAAAGCUAAAUAUUGGCGAGAGACCGAUAGCGAACAAGUACCGUGAGGGAAAGAUGAAAAGAACUUUGGAAAGAGAGUUAAACAGUACGUGAAAUUGCUGAAAGGGAAACGCUUGAAGUCAGUCGCGUUGGCCGGGGAUCAACCUUGCUUUUGCUGGGCGUACUUUCCGGUUGACGGGUCAGCAUCAAUUUUGACCGUUGGAUAAAGUUCAGGGGAAUGUGGCAUCUUCGGAUGUGUUAUAGCCCUUGGUCGCAUACAACGAUUGGGAUUGAGGAACUCAGCACGCCGCAAGGCCGGGUACUUGUACCACGUUCGUGCUUAGGAUGCUGGCAUAAUGGCUUUAAUCGACCCGUCUUGAAACACGGACCAAGGAGUCUAACAUGCCUGCGAGUGUUUGGGUGGAAAACCCGGGCGCGUAAUGAAAGUGAAAGUUGAGAUCCCUGUCGCGGGGAGCAUCGACGCCCGGACCAGACCUUUUGUGACGGAUCCGCGGUAGAGCAUGUAUGUUGGGACCCGAAAGAUGGUGAACUAUGCCUGAAUAGGGUGAAGCCAGAGGAAACUCUGGUGGAGGCUCGUAGCGAUUCUGACGUGCAAAUCGAUCGUCAAAUUUGGGUAUAGGGGCGAAAGACUAAUCGAACCAUCUAGUAGCUGGUUCCUGC
RNAcentral lists this non-coding RNA (698 nucleotides) under Alnicola longicystis. RNAcentral's name for it is "partial 28S ribosomal RNA". It matches the Rfam family "Eukaryotic large subunit ribosomal RNA", at positions 272 to 961 of the family's 3401-position model. Lineage: Eukaryota; Fungi; Basidiomycota; Agaricomycetes; Agaricales; Hymenogastraceae. The record is from RNAcentral.